This 450-nucleotide ribosomal RNA is filed under the name uncultured bacterium. RNAcentral's name for it is "partial 16S ribosomal RNA". It matches the Rfam family "Bacterial small subunit ribosomal RNA", at positions 354 to 796 of the family's 1533-position model. The record is from RNAcentral.
GUGGGGAAUAUUGGACAAUGGGCGAAAGCCUGAUCCAGCCAUGCCGCGUGUGUGAAGAAGGUCUUCGGAUUGUAAAGCACUUUAAGUUGGGAGGAAGGGCAGUAAGUUAAUACCUUGCUGUUUUGACGUUACCAACAGAAUAAGCACCGGCUAACUUCGUGCCAGCAGCCGCGGUAAUACGAAGGGUGCAAGCGUUAAUCGGAAUUACUGGGCGUAAAGCGCGCGUAGGUGGUUCAGCAAGUUGGAGGUGAAAUCCCCGGGCUCAACCUGGGAACUGCCUCAAAAACUACUGAGCUAGAGUACGGUAGAGGGUAGUGGAAUUUCCUGUGUAGCGGUGAAAUGCGUAGAUAUAGGAAGGAACACCAGUGGCGAAGGCGACUACCUGGACUGAUACUGACACUGAGGUGCGAAAGCGUGGGGAGCAAACAGGAUUAGAUACCCUUGUAGUCC